Molecule: ribosomal RNA, 405 nt
Filed under: uncultured prokaryote
Also listed under: 1 other name
Description: bacterial SSU rRNA
Rfam family: Bacterial small subunit ribosomal RNA
Source: RNAcentral
UGGGGAAUAUUGCGCAAUGGGGGGAACCCUGACGCAGCAACGCCGCGUGGAGGAAGAAGGUCUUCGGAUUGUAAACUCCUGUCUUCUGGGACGAAUAAUGACGGUACCAGAGGAGGAAGCCACGGCUAACUACGUGCCAGCAGCCGCGGUAAUACGUAGGUGGCGAGCGUUGUCCGGAAUUACUGGGCGUAAAGGGCGCGUAGGCGGCUUUUUAAGUUAGAUGUGAAAACCCGGGGCUUAACUCCGGGCGUGCAUUUAAAACUGGAGAGCUUGAGUGCAGGAGAGGUAAGUGGAAUUCCUAGUGUAGCGGUGAAAUGCGUAGAUAUUAGGAGGAACACCAGUGGCGAAGGCGACUUACUGGACUGUAACUGACGCUGAGGCGCGAAAGCGUGGGGAGCAAACAGG